This 1305-nucleotide ribosomal RNA is filed under the name Pochazia shantungensis. RNAcentral's name for it is "SSU rRNA". It matches the Rfam family "Eukaryotic small subunit ribosomal RNA", at positions 453 to 1667 of the family's 1831-position model. Lineage: Eukaryota; Metazoa; Arthropoda; Insecta; Hemiptera; Ricaniidae. The record is from RNAcentral.
GGCACGGGGAGGUAGUGACGAAAAAUAACGAUACGGGACUCAUCCGAGGCCCCGUAAUCGGAAUGAGUAUACUCUAAAUCCUUAUACGAGUAUCAAUUGGAGGGCAAGUCUGGUGCCAGCAGCCGCGGUAAUUCCAGCUCCAAUAGCGUAUAUUAAAGUUGUUGCGGUUAAAAAGCUCGUAGUUGGAUCUGUGUCCCGCGCCGUCGGUUCACCGCCUGUCGGUGUUCAACUGGCGUGUAUGCGGGACGUCCUGCCGGUGGCGGUCCGGUUCCCCGCAGGUUCGUAGGGGUCGUCCUUGCUUUGCUUGCGGCGUCCCCGAAGGCUUGCGCGGUGUAUCCGGCCGCCUUUUCGAUCCCGUCGCGGUGCUCUUCACCGAGUGUCGAGGCGGGCCGGCACGUUUACUUUGAACAAAUUAGAGUGCUUUAAGCAGGCCCUGUCAUGCCUGUAUGUUGUGUGCAUGGAAUAAUGGAAUAGGACCUCGGUUCUAUUUUGUUGGUUUUCGGAAUCUGAGGUAAUGAUCAAUGGGGACAGGCGGGGGCAUUCGUAUUGCGACGUUAGAGGUGAAAUUCUUGGAUCGUCGCAAGACGGACCGAAGCGAAAGCAUUUGCCAAGUAUGUUCUCGUCGAUCAAGAACGAAAGUUAGAGGUUCGAAGGCGAUCAGAUACCGCCCUAGUUCUAACCAUAAACUAUGCCUGCCAGCGAUCCGCCGAAGUUCCUCCGAUGACUCGGCGGGCAGCUUCCGGGAAACCAGAGCUUUUGGGUUCCGGGGGAAGUAUGGUUGCAAAGCUGAAACUUAAAGGAAUUGACGGAUGGGCACCACCAGGAGUGGAGCCUGCGGCUUAAUUUGACUCAACACGGGAAAACUCACCAGGCCCGGACACCGGAAGGAUUGACAGAUUGAGAGCUCUUUCUUGAUUCGGUGGGUGGUGGUGCAUGGCCGUUCUUAGUUGGUGGAGCGAUUUGUCUGGUUAAUUCCGAUAACGAACGAGACUCUAGCCUACUAACUAGGCGUACCCGGUAUCCACAAUCGUGCUACCGGCGAUCAAAUUUCUUCUUAGAGGGACAGGCGGCUUCUAGCCGCACGAGACUGAGCAAUAACAGGUCUGUGAUGCCCUUAGAUGUCCUGGGCCGCACGCGCGCUACACUGAAGGAAUCAGCGUGUCUUCCCUGUCCGAAAGGACCGGGUAAUCCGCUGAACCUCCUUUGUGCUAGGGAUUGGGGCUUGCAAUUGUUCCCCAUGAACGAGGAAUUCCCAGUAAGCGCGAGUCAUAAGCUCGCGUUGAUUACGUCCCUGCCCUUGUACAC